GGGUGCGUGAGUGCGCACCCACCACAACACAAGGGAUCACCCGGGUCUCCCUGCCUGGGUGGUCCUUCU
Non-coding RNA from Fibrobacter succinogenes subsp. succinogenes S85, 69 nucleotides. NCBI's taxonomy places the organism in Bacteria, Pseudomonadati, Fibrobacterota, Fibrobacteria, Fibrobacterales, Fibrobacteraceae. The record is from Rfam.